RNAcentral lists this ribosomal RNA (465 nucleotides) under uncultured bacterium. RNAcentral describes it as "partial 16S ribosomal RNA". It matches the Rfam family "Bacterial small subunit ribosomal RNA", at positions 28 to 507 of the family's 1533-position model. The record is from RNAcentral.
GACGAACGCUGGCGGCGUGCUUAACACAUGCAAGUCGAACGGAAAGGCCCCUUUGGGGGUACUCGUGUGGCGAACGGGUGAGUAACACGUGAGUAACCUGCCCUUGACUUCGGGAUUACCUCAGGAAACUGGGGCUAAUUCCGGCUAGGAAUCCUUGCUGCAUGGUGGGGGUUGGUCAGCUUCGGCGGUUUUGGAUGGACUCGCGGCUUAUCAGCUUGUUGGUGGGGUAGUGGCUUACCAAGGCUUUGACGGGUAGCCGGCCUGAGAGGGCGACCGGCCACAUUGGGACUGACAGACGGCACAGACGCCGACGGGAGGAAGCAGGGGGGAAUAUUGCACAAUGGGCGGAAGGCGUAUGCAGCAACGCCGCGGGCGGGAUAACAGCCUUCGGUUUGUAAACCGCUUGCAGCAGGGGCGAAGCUUGUGGUGACGUUACCUGCAGAAGAAGCACCGGCUAACUACGUG